This 497-nucleotide ribosomal RNA is filed under the name uncultured bacterium. Its description in RNAcentral is "partial 16S ribosomal RNA". It matches the Rfam family "Bacterial small subunit ribosomal RNA", at positions 28 to 507 of the family's 1533-position model. The record is from RNAcentral.
GAUGAACGCUGGCGGCGUGCCUAAUACAUGCAAGUCGAGCGAACAGACGAGGAGCUUGCUCCUUUGACGUUAGCGGCGGACGGGUGAGUAACACGUGGGUAACCUACCUAUAAGACUGGGAUAACUUCGGGAAACCGGAGCUAAUACCGGAUAAUAUUUUGAACCGCAUGGUUCAAUAGUGAAAGAUGGCUUUGCUGUCACUUAUAGAUGGACCUGCGCCGCAUUAGCUAGUUGGUAAGGUAACGGCUUACCAAGGCAACGAUGCGUAGCCGACCUGAGAGGGUGAUCGGCCACACUGGAACUGAGACACGGUCCAGACUCCUACGGGAGGCAGCAGUAGGGAAUCUUCCGCAAUGGGCGAAAGCCUGACGGAGCAACGCCGCGUGAGUGAUGAAGGUCUUCGGAUCGUAAAACUCUGUUAUUAGGGAAGAACAAACGUGUAAGUAACUAUGCACGUCUUGACGGUACCUAAUCAGAAAGCCACGGCUAACUACGUG